This 264-nucleotide ribosomal RNA is filed under the name uncultured archaeon. RNAcentral describes it as "partial 16S ribosomal RNA". It matches the Rfam family "Archaeal small subunit ribosomal RNA", at positions 717 to 982 of the family's 1478-position model. The record is from RNAcentral.
AGACGUCUACAUUAGACUACCCGGGUAGUCCCAGCCGUAAACUAUGCGCGUUAGGUGUAUCGGUGACCACGAGUUACCGAGGUGCCGAAGGGAACCGUGAAACGUGCCGCCUGGGAAGUACGGUCGCAAGGCUGAAACUUAAAGGAAUUGGCGGGGAGCACCACAACAGGUGGAGCCUGCGGUUUAAUUGGACUCAACGCCGGGAAGCUCACCGGAUAAGACAGCGGAAUGAUUGCCGGGCUGAAGACUCUGCAUGACUAGCUG